Cairina moschata (Muscovy duck) is the source of this 2683-nucleotide long non-coding RNA. The record is from Ensembl. NCBI's taxonomy places the organism in Eukaryota, Metazoa, Chordata, Aves, Anseriformes, Anatidae.
CCGCGCCCCGGCCGGCCGCGCCAUGCGGCACAGCGUGGGGCCGGCCCCGCCGCGGCCUCCGGGGGGAAAGGGGGCGGCGGAGGGAAAGGGGAGAAAGCGAGGGGGGAAAUAGGGGGCUCAGGGGGAGAACAGGGAGUCGGGGAGGGUGCCGGGGGGGGAUUUUGGGGGUGCCCGGCGGGGCUGGGGCCGGGCACGCGGCGGCGGCGGCCUCCCCUUCCCAGCAUUCCGCCGCCGCGCAGGCAACGUGGUUGCUGCCCCGGCUGGCGGCGAGCAUGUGAUUUCCCCGAGAGCGCGGCCUCCUCCUCCUCCUCUUCCUCCUCUUCCUCAUCCUCACCCCCCUCCUCUACCCUCACACCUCCCCCUUCCCAGAGGGGGGCUCCCCGCCCGGCCCUCCCCACGUGCGCGGCUCCUUUCUCUGCCCACCCGCCCCCUCCUCCCCCUUUUUAUCCCCCCCUCCCUUCCCCUUCCCCUUUUUUUUUUUUUCUUUUUUUUUUUUUUCUCCUCCCGGUAUUGUGGGGGCCGGGCGCUGCCUCCCAGCCUCCAGCAGGACCCCCCCCGGGAGCCUUCCUCCCAUUUCCACGGCCUCCCCGAGCCCCGGCAGCAGGGCCCUGGCGCGGGGCUGGGAUUGCAGAACUCCAUUUUCCUCCACGGGCGUCGCCUCCACCACCACCGCCGCCACCGCCGCCUCCAUCGCUCGCCCCUACUGAAAUCGCCGCCGCUUGAAGCGGGGUGGCGAGCCUGAAGUUUGCACUUUUUCAUUUUCCUCGGCCUCCCCGCGAGGCUGCCAGCCAGAUCUGACAUCAGGCUCCCCGCCGUGUCGGUGUGGGGGGGGGGUGGGGUGGGUUAUUUUUUUUUUUUUUAUUAUUUAUUAUUUAUUUUUUGCAAGAGCGGCGCGCGGGGCUCGGCCGCGCUGAUUCAUCGGGAGGGAUCGAUCCCCGCCGGGCGCUCAGCGCGGCUCGGCGGCUUCCACCCGGAAAGCUGUCGGCGUAAUGGUGGCGAGGAGGAGAAGUUCGGUGUGCCAGAUAUAUUUCCAGCUGACGGCCAGUCUGGCACGGCCUUGUCUGCCUCCUUGGCUUCCACAGAAGGAGGAACAGGCUGAUCCAGGCGAGGCAGAGCUCCCGCUGCCAGCUCCGAGCAUCGCCACCCUCCUGCCACCCUGGACCCCGCAGCGGAGCUCCGCUUUUCCUCGCUGCCAGCCCAGCAGCUGCAGCCUUUCUGCCCAGUGCCCCCCCUCCCCGUGCUGGUCACACACUGGUCAGCUUCCCGGCAUACCUCCUGCUUUCAAGAUAAGCUCCAGGACCUUGGGCUGGGCCCUGUUUGCUGCUCUUGCUGCUUAUCAGCUCUCGGCCGCUGACAAGGUGACCUGCGGCACCAAGGACCGGGCGGGAGGGAAGGUGUCCCCAACCCGUGCCGUGCUUUGGGAUGGCACCGCUGGGACCCACAGCACGUCUGUGUGCGUCUGCGUGUGUCUGUGUGACCACAUGCACCCCGCAUCACUCGUGUGCUGAGCACCCUGGUCCUGGUGCCAGGACCCGGCUGGAUGCAGGGCUUGCAGCGUGCGGCGGAGGUCGGCUCCUCGGGAGGGGCGGCCUCGCUGGGUCAUCGUUUUUCAAACUAAAUAUAGUUGCCUGCGCUUUCAUAAGGCUGGGAUUUUUGCGUCACGUGAUUUGUCUUAUCCCUCCUGGCCGGCAGUCAGUCAGAGUAGGGGAUCUUGUGUCUGAAUGGGUAAUAAUUAACUGUUAACUAGCUUUUCAUUAGGGGCUGGCAGAACAGGCAGAGCGGUGCUGCGGAGGGAAGCAGGAGCGGAGGAAACCCCUCUGGGUCUGUCCUGGAGGGUGGAGGCCGGUGCCGGUAGGACACCCCCCUUUAAUUUGCAAAUCAGCAGCCCCCAAAGGUGGGUGGGUUGGUUUUUCUUGUGCCUUUUACGAGGAGUCGGAGUCCUGCGCGUCUGUCCUUGCCGUCCUGUACUUCCUGCUCGUCGCCCCUCCCUCUCCCCAGCCGCUGAUUUUUUUUUUUUCAGGUCACGAUCUAUCAGCUGGGCUCCGGGCCGCCCUGGAGGAGAGCCUGACCCCCAGCCUCCUCCAUGACUUGGCUCUUCUCUCUGCCUGCCCUCAUUCUCCCCGGGCCCCUGCGGCCUCGUCUCGGUGCUGAGCGCGCCGCGGCGUCCUCCCCUCCCCGCCCCGCUGUGGAGGUGCCCUUGCUGUGCCUCGGCGCCCCGAGCAGCAGCAGCUGAAGCCACUCGCCUCUUUUCUCAGGGCUCGCUCGGCCUCUGCAGCCCCAGCCUGCCCCUGACGGACGUCCACAGGUUGCAGGACCCGUGUGGCAUCUGCUGCGGGCGCCGCCGGCUUUCCCAGCCCUCUCCAUUAACUGUUUAAUCCGCCGGGGAGCGUUCGCAGAUGUCCUCGGAGGCAUGGGGGCGGCUGGCGUCGCUCUCCUGCGGGAUGACAGGGGAAUUGCUGGCUCCGUGCUCUGCUGGCCAGGGACGUGCCUGUGCCAGGGAAGCCGGGUCAGGCGCUGGGGCUGGAGCUGUGUGGUAGCGUGGGCGCUGCUCCCCUCCCCCAGGGACAGCGAGGUGGCUCCGGAUUGCGCCCUGGUUGCGAGCUGGGCAUCCCUGGCUGAGUCCCCACCGCAGUUUGGAAGCCACCAGCUCCCAAACUCCACCAGUUCUUGCAGCAAAGACCAU